This 204-nucleotide ribosomal RNA is filed under the name Ixodes scapularis (black-legged tick). RNAcentral describes it as "eukaryotic small subunit ribosomal RNA". It matches the Rfam family "Eukaryotic small subunit ribosomal RNA", at positions 1229 to 1478 of the family's 1831-position model. The record is from RNAcentral. Lineage: Eukaryota; Metazoa; Arthropoda; Arachnida; Ixodida; Ixodidae.
UUCUUGGAGGAUUGACAGAUUGAGAGCUCUUUCUUGAUUCGGUGGAUGGUGGUGCAUGUCCGUUCUUAGUUGGUGGAGCGAUUUGCCUGGUUAAUUCCUAUAACCAACGAGACUCUAGUCUAUUAAAUAGGUGCGCGGUUUUCUGCACCUUGCACCCUUCUCAGAGGGACAAACAGAGCAAUAACAUGUCUGAUGGCCUUAGAU